CGAUGAUCCGGUGCUUGCACCGGGGAUUAGUGGCGAACGGGUGAGUAACACGUGAGUAACCUGCCCUUGACUCUGGGAUAAGCCUGGGAAACCGGGUCUAAUACCGGAUAUGACCUGUCACCGCAUGGUGGCGGGUGGAAAGAUUUAUUGGUUUUGGAUGGACUCGCGGCCUAUCAGCUUGUUGGUGGGGUAAUGGCCUACCAAGGCGACGACGGGUAGCCGGCCUGAGAGGGUGACCGGCCACACUGGGACUGAGACACGGCCCAGACUCCUACGGGAGGCAGCAGUGGGGAAUAUUGCACAAUGGGCGCAAGCCUGAUGCAGCGACGCCGCGUGAGGGAUGACGGCCUUCGGGUUGUAAACCUCUUUCAGCAGGGAAGAAGCGAAAGUGACGGUACCUGCAGAAGAAGCGCCGGCUAACUACGUGCCAGCAGCCGCGGUAAUACGUAGGGCGCAAGCGUUGUCCGGAAUUAUUGGGCGUAAAGAGCUCGUAGGCGGUUUGUCGCGUCUGCUGUGAAAGCCCGGGGCUCAACCCCGGGUCUGCAGUGGGUACGGGCAGACUUGAGUGCAGUAGGGGAGACUGGAAUUCCUGGUGUAGCGGUGAAAUGCGCAGAUAUCAGGAGGAACACCGAUGGCGAAGGCAGGUCUCUGGGCUGUAACUGACGCUGAGGAGCGAAAGCAUGGGGAGCGAACAGGAUUAGAUACCCUGGUAGUCCAUGCCGUAAACGUUGGGCACUAGGUGUGGGGGACAUUCCACGUUUUCCGCGCCGUAGCUAACGCAUUAAGUGCCCCGCCUGGGGAGUAC
This 805-nucleotide ribosomal RNA is filed under the name Arthrobacter sp. RNAcentral describes it as "bacterial SSU rRNA". It matches the Rfam family "Bacterial small subunit ribosomal RNA", at positions 67 to 883 of the family's 1533-position model. Lineage: Bacteria; Bacillati; Actinomycetota; Actinomycetes; Micrococcales; Micrococcaceae. The record is from RNAcentral.